CUCUAUCGGUCACGGAUUAAAUGGUGGUUGGAUUUAUUCAUGCACUUUAAAAUAAUUAUUUGAAGUUUCUUUCUUUUCAGAUUCUUAUUUACAGCUUUAUCAUAAUAGGCUGUAUAUUAACUUAUUGGGAGAAAACUGGUAGUUCUAUGUGAAAUCAGACAUUUGAGCUCCCCCAUAUUGUCAAAAUGGCAUAAUCAUAACACAACUAUUCAGGGUCACCCCUACCUAAAAGUGGUAGGUAAUUCAUUGUGUUUGACAACACUGUUCUCAGAAACUACAGGACACUCAUCCUUGUAUAAUAUACUGUAUAACAGUGGUUCUCAACGACAUUCCUGGAGGACCCCCAACACUGCACAUUUAGCAUAUCUCCUUAAAGGGAUACUCCACCCCAAAAUGAAAAUUUUGUCAUUAAUCACUUACCCCCAUGUCAUUCCAAAACUGUUCAAAAAGCUCCGUUCACCUUCAGAACACAUUUUAAGAUGUUUUGUAUGAAAACCUGCUCAUUAGUAGAGACUUACAGACUUGAAAUGGGUGUGUCAGACAAAGGAGACAUGCAAAAUGUGCAGUGUUGGGGGUCCUCCAGGAAUGUGGUUGAGAACCACUGUCGUAGAGAACUAUAGAGGCAUCUAGUGGCUACACCAUGGAAUUACAGAUUAAUUUUAAAGUAAGGAUUACCAGAAAGUUAACUUUGUGAGUUAUAACUCGUUGUUUUAAGAUUGUAAAUGUGUUUUACCUUUACUUUGCAUUGUUUGGUCCUGGUUUGUCAUGGGCGCUUCUUCCGUGACCAACGUUAAUGUUACCUCACAAAAAAAAAAAAAAAUGCUGUUGGCCAUUUUGUUUUAAGCAGUUCAGCGUCUUACUUUUCCCACAAUGCAGUGCGAAUUAGAUCGUCUUACUAAAGACAACCAUGGACUUAUUUUAUGCAACAGUCUUUCCCCACUGACUUUAGUUCGUCAGGCUAAUUCAUAGAUACACUCUUAAGUUUAUGCAACCGGCUCCCUGUUAUGGAGCUUAAGAAACAAUUGAAAUGACUUGUGGUUUACACAGUCCCUCUGGAAAUGGAAGGUCAGGUUGAGUGCAUUGCAUUAUAAGAUGCCACUGUUCUCCAUGCAGUGUGCCGCAGUUGCAUAAAGACAAGUUAGAAUUCCAGCUCCUGGUUCUUUACCAAUCACUGAAUAAAGUCUAUAGCCUGAACAGCAUGAUGGAAGCAGGAGCUCAGAAUGAUCAGUCCUGCUCCUGAAGAUCUGCUUUCCUUAAAGGUCAAGAUCCAACCAUAAACAAAUACUGGAGAUCUUCAGGAACAGGACUGAGGACGGCUUUACAUAGCUGAGUUCAAUAAGCAAAAGAUCAGACGUGGCGCCCUCUAGAGGACUCAUCAGGCCUCUAAACUGGGGAAUAUUAACAGAAAAACUGUCAUUGUUCAAAGUAAAAAUUGAUUUUUAAGCAAUUUCUUCAAAUGUAGUAACUUACGCUCUUAUAGUAUGUUUUAACCACCAAUCAAUUCUAUGUGGAUAAUCCCACCCUGUAUUUGUUUCACUGAAGAACUGGAAUUGUGUUUCUUCCACGAUAUGGAUUUUGUGAUACCAUGGAUACCGUUACAUGUUCAUGAAUUCAGAUCUUGCAUUUAUAUAGUUUUGUUCAAGUUGGUACGCUUUGCAAAGAAACAUUUGUAGGUUGAUAAAGACAACAAUGCAUAACUGUCCCAUUUAUCAAGCAGCUACUUGCCUGAUAAGUAAAUAAUUGAACGCAAAAUAUUAAUUUGACAUUUUAAUUACCUCAACAUGACUUGCAGUUCCCAUGUGAGCACUCCAUUAUCAGUUGUUGAAGUUGUGGUUGUAUCAAUAACAGACCACUAGAUGGCGUGAUUGAUGAAUCAGAGUUAUGUUGAGUUAAAUAACUCUGACACAAUGGAACAUUUCAAAUAUUCAUAAGAUAUCAAAUCAUAUUAGAAUGUGAUUUCGGGGAAGUCGUGGCCUAGUGGUUAGAGAGUUUAACUCCUAACCCUAAGGUUGUGGGUUUGAGUCUUGGGCCGGCAAUACCACGACUGAGGUGCCCUUGAGCAAGGCACCGAACCCCCAACUGAUAUCCCCGGGCACCAAAGCAUAAAUGGCUGCCCACUUCUCCAGGUGUAUGUUCACGUUGUUUGUGUGCACUUUGGAUGGGUUAAAUGCAGAGCACGAAUUCUGAGUAUGGAUCACCAUACUUGGCUGUAUGUCACAUCACUUUCACUUACUUUAGAAUGAUUUCUGAAGAAUCAUGUGACACUGAAGACUGGAGUAAUGAUGCUGAAAAUUCAGCUUUGAUCACAGGAAUACAGUAGCCUAUGUGUUAAAAAUAGAUAAUUCAAACAGAUAAUUUAAAUGGACAAUAUUUCACAAUAUUACAGUGUUUACUGUAGUUUUAAUAAAUAAAUGUAGCCUUGGUGAGCAUAUAGUCAAUAAUUACCUGAAAACUGCACAAUGGCCAAAAAAACAAUGGCACAAUAAAAAAAGACUUUUCAUGUCUAUGUUCAUUCCCUUACUUUUACCAGUUAUAUAAGGUUAAAAUAUUUUGCCUGCAUUUUUUUUUUCUUAUAUCGCAAUAUAAUAUCAAAAUCACCUGGACAGUGUAAAAUAUCGUGAUAUGAAUUUUAGCUUAUAUCGCCCACCCCUAGUGUGCGAAGAACAGCAGUAUUUUGGAGUAUGGCUCUGAGUGCACUGACACUCAGAGCCAUACUCCAAAAUACUGCUGUUCAUCGCACAUUACAUCAGUGAAUCUUUUCUGCUCUGCACUUAGUUUACUCUUGUUCUUCUGAAAAACCAUCAUGUCUGCUGCUGCUCUCCAUUCCAGGUUGCUGACGUUUUUUUAUCACUCCCAGUUUCUGCAGUUUCUACUGGAUCUGAUGACAAAAAACACUUGCUUAUGUGUUUGAUUCUCUACCGGAGGUUUGGGGAUCACUUCACCAAAGCCUGUGUGUCACCAAUGGCUGUAAAUGGAGAUAACGAGCAUCCGAUGUAAAGGCACGUUUACAAAGAAGUCGUCACUUUGACUGUUGGAACACUUUAUGACUGUUCCAAUGUGCUCUUGAGUGUGCCCUCACAUUGUGUUUAUUAAUUUUACUGCUCAGCUAACUGUGAGGUGACACGGCAGAGUACAUUUUUCAAGUGUUUAUAUGUGUAAUCGCUUUGUUAGUUGAAAUAUUUUGUUACCAUACAAAUAAAUAACGGCUCUGGUGGUCCCGCGGAUGGUUUGCUCGCGCGCAGGUAACGUUACUGCGAGUGUGGAUGAACAAAUACUGAAGUUACAGUGGGCUUCAUCAUGGGCUUCAUCGAAAAGUAAUUACUGAUUGCUUAUUAAUAUGACAAUGUCCUGUAACGGUGCUUUCAUUCACUGAUUUAAAUAUUUUCUCAAAAAUGUUAAAUUAGAUAAAAUAAAACUAUUUACUUAUUGAUUUUGUAUUUUUUCAAAUAUUUUUGUUGUAUAGAUUUGAUGCUAAGUAAAAAUGUGAGUUUACUUUUAUAAGCCACUUUUUUGUGUGUGAAAAUAUUAACUUUUUCUGUGUGUG
This is a long non-coding RNA of Cyprinus carpio carpio, 3544 nucleotides long. Lineage: Eukaryota; Metazoa; Chordata; Actinopteri; Cypriniformes; Cyprinidae. The record is from Ensembl.